UCCCUGAGAUCAUAAUAUGCCU
This 22-nucleotide microRNA is filed under the name Schmidtea mediterranea. Its description in RNAcentral is "sme-miR-125b-5p". Its record names the gene sme-miR-125b-5p. The record is from miRBase by way of RNAcentral. Lineage: Eukaryota; Metazoa; Platyhelminthes; Tricladida; Dugesiidae.